GACAGCUCCUUGGUGACAGCCCCUACCUCUGUCAGUCCAUCCAGCCCCACACUCCACACCUGAUCUACAUUUCCUCUGUACCAUCUUCCAGGAGGGUGGUCCAAAGAGCCCACCAGCCAGAAUACAGACGUGAGCAGGACUUCAUGAUACACUGGAAUGCUGUGUCAGUGUUGGCUUUAGCCACAUGAUUUCAGGAGCAGAGAGAAGCCAUCCACCUCCUUUGCCUUGCUCAGGAAUGCAUCAGGUGCUCUUCCAAGAGAAAGCCCUCCUAAUCCACUCCUAUGGCUCCCUGAGUAUAAAAUAAGCUAUACAAGUU
RNAcentral lists this long non-coding RNA (316 nucleotides) under Bos taurus (domestic cattle). RNAcentral's name for it is "long non-coding RNA NONBTAT024603". Lineage: Eukaryota; Metazoa; Chordata; Mammalia; Artiodactyla; Bovidae. The record is from RNAcentral.